UAUAGACUUGGCUGUUGACUCUUUUGACUUGGGCCAGUAAGCAACCACCGAGAAACAACCCAGAAUACCUUUCCAGCUGUGCAGUUUACAACACCUUAUCAGAAUGACAGCGAGUUUUGCAUGGCACCACUUGUGUUUUCUCCAGAGAAUUUCCAAACCUAUUCAUGUAUGUGCAUUGCAGUGUUAAUUAUGCUACACUGGGGGAUGCUUGGGUGUGUGUCUAUGACAUUGAGCUGUUUUCUAUGUUGUUAUCACAGUUUAGUUUAGCUUGACUCAUGUUUCUCAGUUGGGGGUGUGUGUCCAAGGGAAAAGACCAAUAUGUCUAGAUCUGUCCUUUGAGGCUCACACAUACACACAUUUUUCCCGUCACUCCCUGCUUCACUAACACGAGAGGGUGUGGUGAUCUGUAGAAAAAUCAACUUCCUGUCUGCAAUCCCCGCAUGGCAUCGUAACGGAUGGGUUUACAUCACCAAACCCAAUCUCACUCUCUGAGAACAUCAGGAAAUGCUUCUCUCCAACACAACAUCAGAGAACGAGCUUUUUUUUUUGAAGGAAAAGUGUGAUAAGCCCUAAACACACUCUCUGUCUCUCGCUCUCUGACACUUACUGCUUCUGAGGAAUAGAAGGGACAGACUUUAUCACCAACAGAUUAAAAAUAGAGAAGGGAGACUGAGGAAAGGCAUCCAGCCUCGAUCAUCGAGCAUUGGUCAAACAUGUGAUCAUCAGAAGCGAGGGGACCUUACUGGAAUCUAACAAUCGUGAUCCUGAUGCUGCUGAGCCCAGAUGUGUGAGAAUCCAUGACUUCUGGAGAGAUCGAUGGCUUUGUGUGGCUGAUGUCCUCAGAGACUCUGGUAGAGCAGCUUGACUUGUGGGGCAAUACUAGUUGAUCAACCAAAACCAGCAUGCACAUGCCCAAAUCAUGACUCAGGAAUAAUGGUAACCAGCAUUAAAAAUGGU
Cyprinus carpio (common carp) is the source of this 957-nucleotide long non-coding RNA. RefSeq lists it as uncharacterized. Lineage: Eukaryota; Metazoa; Chordata; Actinopteri; Cypriniformes; Cyprinidae. The record is from RefSeq and is a predicted model, not a curated record. The transcript has 3 exons.